CUACAAGUUAAUGUCUCUCAUUUACACAUUCACACACGUAUGGAUACAUUCAGGAAACACAGAGCAACCAAAAACAAUGUCUGUAACGUUUCUCUGAUGAUUCUAAACGCUAUCCUUAUAUGUUCAGUGUACAGGUCGGCAUCAAACCACAGGAUGGAUUUUAUAAUGUUUAUAUGAGUGUUUACAGAUGCUAACGUAUGUAACGCUGUUACUGUGAUAACACAUGACAGUUAAAUAUUUAUAAAAAUCCAUCCUGUAUACUGAACGCAUAAGGAAUAGUUAACGUUUAUAAUCACCAGAGAACAUUACACACGUUGUUUUUGGUUCCUUUCUGUUUUCUGAAUAUAUCCGUACGUGUGUGAAUGUGUAAAUGAGAGACAUUAACUUAUAACACUUUGUACUAGGAGCUUUAUAAAGCUUACUCCAUUGACUUGUAUCCGUUCACGGGGCUGAGCUGCCACAUCCAAUGUGGGGGUGGCGUCGAAGUCUAAACAGAGUGUCAAAGAGGACCAUCCGGAGACGCAUGAAACAGAGCGGUUUAAGAAAACUGGCCUCUUUUCAGCUGUGAAUGAUGAGGAGUUGGACCGUAUUUUAAGUGAAGUCCACAGAAGACAUCCAAACACCGGCUACAAGCUAAUGCGUGGUCAUCUGAAUGCAAGAGGUGUGCGUGUUCCAACUGUGCUGGCGCGCGGCGCAGGAGGGCGCACUGCAGAGCCAUAGACAUCUCCUCGGUGACAAGGGUUAUCCUCUAACGGAAUACCUAAUAAACCCGCUGGCAAACCCCGCUACAGAUCAGGAACGCAGGUUCAACAGUACGCACACACGGAGACGGGUCACAGUGGAGCGCUGCUUCGGGUUGCUGAAGGGCAGGUGGCUCUGUCUCGGACCAGCAGGGGGAACGCUGCUGUAUACCCCAGAGAAAGUCUGCAAUAUCAUUUUGGCCUGUUCACUUUUGUACAACAUUGCACUGGUGAAUGGAUUGCCUUUUGAUGUGCCGGCGCAGCCAGAUGAGCCAAUGCCCAUGGAACCGUGGCCAGUACAGCCUCCACUGGGGGCUAUACGGAGGAGACAGGACCUCAUUUGCCGCUUUUUAAACUCUCAAGACUGCAAGAGUCUUUACGCUGAGUCGAUGCAGAGGGAGUCUACAUGAGACAUCUAAGGCUGCGUGUAUUAAGGCGACGGCAGUAUUCUUUUCCUGGCCCAAACUCUUUAUGGCAUAUAGAUGGCAACCAUAAGCUCAUCAGGUCAGAAAUAGACAAUAAACAGUGCAUCUUUCCAUAGAUGUCAUUAGAGAAAUAUUGUGCUGUUUUUGUGUGUUCACAAUUGCCAGGUGGAGAUUCGUUGUUCAUGGUGGGAUGGAUGGAUUCAGUCAUUUAGUGGUCUACUUGACUGUGGCUGGCAAUAAUAGAGCUAGUAAGAUCUUACAGAGCUUUAUCACUGCUGUUGAGCAGUAUGGGCUGCCACAUCACAGGCAGAAGCGUCCACAAUCAGUGAAUAGAGAGGAUGUGGAGAGAUGUUUAUGAACAUGCCUUGGACCUCUUCUAUCAGAUCUUCACUUUAUUGGAAGAUCAGGGAACACUGAAUCCAGACAAUGAAGUCCAUCUUUUCGCACUGCACCGGAUCUUCCUUUCACAAAUCCAGCAAAGCCUCAAUUCUUUCAGAGAUGCUUGGAACUUUCAUGGUCUUAGAACCGAAAGGAAUCAGUCACCACAGCAACUCUGGAGAAGAUACAGAGAGCAAGGCCCUAUGGAGGAUCCUACUGAGGUUUAUGAAGACUAUGGGAUCGACUGGAACGGACCUCACAGACUUCAUGGAGGCACUGUGUCAGUCCCCGAGGUUCAGCUGGCCCGUGAGCUCUCAGAUGAGGAGGUUGCCAUUUUGCCAGCUCCAGGAGUUUCUGUAACUGAUGCACUUGGAUUAUAUGUAGAGACUGUGCAGGUUUUUAUCAAGAAUCAUAGCAGACUGAUGCUUUUAUUUGCAACCCAUUCUUUUAUUAAGCAUCUUAGAACAAGCAAGCACAAACUGAAAAAGUUUGCUUUCCCUAAAAAGAAAAAAAGCUGUUUUACUUUGUAGCUCUACAGUAAACACUGUUAUGAGCUCAUAAAUGGAGUUUAUGCACAGCUCAAAUACUUCCUGAACUUUAACACACUCCUUUUCUUCCUGUCUCAUUUUUGGCCACAGAAUGAACAGCAUGAAAUGUCAUUCUGUUGAAAGCUGAAGAUGCAGAACUGCUUGGUUUCAGUUAAUGGUAAAAAUGUGUUGAACAAAAAAAAUAAAUAAAUUAUAAACUACUGCACAGUAUGUUAAAUGUUUUCAAAGAUACUGAACAGUGCAUUCAAUGAUCUGUCUGAACAACAACUUAAACAAGUCCAAAUCCAGUCUGUGCACUAUUUAUGACAGAGACAAGUGCUUUCUCAAAGUCCAUGUAGGUAUUGAAAUGAGCUGGCAGCUUCAGUGUCAAAGCAUGUGGAGGACGUAGGAAGGGUUCCACCAGAAAUCUCCCCUUUCAGUUCAGGAGGAAGCCUCUCCCAGCCAACCCAGAAUGUCAGCAGAUGGGCCAGUGUGCCUGAUGAAGCUAAAAGUCACAACAGUUAGUUAACUUUAGUUGAUCAUAUCUAUCCGCGAGUAGGGAUGUAGCGUUACCGGUGUCACGGUAAACCACGGUAAAAUUCCCGACGGUGAAGGUUACCUUUUAAGUUUUAAGGUAACUCGUGGCGCGUGCGCAGCGUGCAACGUGCAACGUGCACUAGUUAUGUAGUGAAGUAGACAUGGCGGAGGGAGGAUGUGAUAGUAGCGGUCCUCGCGGCAUUUUUCCCCCUUCAAAGAAACCAAAUCUGGGCGUACUGUGGUUGUUAUAAGAAUACUCAGGGACAGCUGGUCGAGGAUGGCAGCCCCAUCUGCAGGAGCUGCAAGAAGAAAGUUGUUGCGAGGGGUGGCAACACAUCCAGUUUACAUGACCAUCACCCUCAGCUGUUCAGCGAAUGCAAGGUAAGCUAACCUUAAGCUCAGGUGCAUCAUGUAUGUGUAUGUUGAGUUUUCUCUGUCUAAUUUGCUGUUGUCACUAAUGUAAACUGACCAGUGGUAUAACUGAACGAAGUUGAUCCAUGAUUUGGCACGUUAUUUGAACAGCUUAUUAGUUGUAGAUUUCACUUUUUAAAGUCAACCUAAUAAUUCCCCAAACAUUGAUGCAGAGCUGCAGAGAGGAGGAUUUGAGACAAACACAUAGUGGGAAGAAGAAUAGAAGAAUAUGAAAUGGUGAAUAUAACGUGUCUAGAUAGAAAUAAGAGCCAAAAUAGGGUAUUCACAAUUCAUUUAACAACAGUAAUCCUUUUUGUUUUGAUCUAAAAAGUGAUCCAACCUGUUCCCCACAAAGUGAUAUGAUCUAAAUUAUGAGUUUUGUGAUCUGUUGGUUGCACCCUUAGUAUUAAGUAACAAUGGCAGUAAUAAUUAAUGACAUUUUCUAUUAAUUUUUUUCACAGAGGCCAAUCGAGUGCUGCUGUACUCGAUAACCGAUGGCUAGACCGAUAACUGUGAUAAUUUUGGCCACUAUUACCACUGUGUGAAAUGUUCAUACCAUUACAUCCCUAUCCACGAGACAUAGAAGCAUUUGUUAAGAGAGCGAUACAUUAGCCAAAUAAGGUGUUUAUACCUGUUUCAAUGAACAUCCUCAAUGAAAGCCAGUGAUGCGGCAUGUGGAUUCUAUGUUAAAGUCUUCAUCAUCACUGUCCUCAACCGGCAAUGUGAUUUUUUUCUAGGAGCAUCUUAAAGAACACAUCAAUGUAAUUGAUUUUUUAAAAAAGAAGAACUUAUUUUGGUGAAAGAAUAUUCAAAUCACAUUCUUGGUAAAUGGAAAAAUAAUCUGCUUAGUCAUUUGAAAAUACAUUAAAUAAAGCCACAAAUAUAACUAAAUUACUGACUUACCUGUGAUGUGAACUGCAUUUCAGCCAUUUUGGGCAAAAGAAGUGGGACAACAUCUGGCCUAGAUGUCAGCAGGGGCUAUACCAUCACAUCUUUCAGUCCCUUUCUCAACUGUUUAAAUUUGGCGCAUGGUCCUCCCAAUGACCUAAGAGAGAGACCAGACCCAUAUUGCAAACCAAAUCCUCAACCCCAAUUUUACAAAAGUUGAUACAGCAGGAAAAAUGUUCAUAAAGUACAACGAAGUGCUUUAUAAAAUCCAUUCAAACUCUAGUACAGAAUAUAUCAACCCUUAAGACAUGUAUAUAUUUUAGAAUAAUGUAUGCUGCUAUUCAGAUGUGUCUUUUCCUGGGAUGUCCCUUCAUUUUACAACAAAUCACAUUUUACAGAGAUUACAAGUUAAAGAGAGUGCUAGUUGUCCUGUGUACAGUCCCAGUUUGCCUGUGAUUGAAAAUAUGUUGUGCUUCAUGCACAUUUGUCAUAACUGUUCUGCUUAAGACAUAAUUGAUGGAUGAAUGGGGAAAUUCCACUUUCUAAAUUUCAGCAAUUGGAUGUUGCAGUAGAUCAUUUUAUCACCUUUUUAAAGUAUAUUAUCAAAAGGCAAAUUAACAAAACCAAAUGUGUUUUGUUGAUCUGCUAACAGUGUACUGUGGUGUGAUUUUUUAGUAAAAGAUUUCACUUUGUUUUUGGAAUAUUUAUAAGUGAGGGCGGAAUUGUGUGACCAUGGCAACGGCUGAGUUACCGGAAGAAAUGGCCACUGGACAACAAACUGCUGUGCAACCGUACAUGUUCGAAGAGGCUCCAGAAUAAGUUCAGCAGCCAAGAAUGAACAUGGAUGUUUCUCAGUGGUGUUCCUGUGGCAAUUGUGAACAAGUGCCUACAAAGCCUGAGAAUAUCUGCUGUAUGGAAAUACCACAGGUAAGUGUGAACACUGGGCAAACAAGGUUGUUAUUUUGCAGUCUCUUUUCUUUAAUCCAUUGUCACUCACUUACCUUUCAUAACUUAUAGGUUACACGAAGACUAAGUUACAGCAGCUUCCUGAGCAACCAUCAUGCAUGCUGUACCAUCCUAGCCUAGAACCCGUCUGCCUGAAUGUGUUUUCACUGCAGAAUGCACUGAACAUUUAUCGGGCAGACUACGGACCUUUACGUCUGAGGGGAAUAGUGCAGUAAGCUUUUUAGGCCCAUAAAUAUUAUUAAUUUAUUGCGAAAGUGUUAUAAAUUACAUAACUGCUUCCUCUGUCUUACAUUGCUUAUAGUUUAUCUUUACUAUCUUUUACUUGGUAACAUGAAAACUACAUAUCAAACAAUGAAAACACACAGAACAGUUGGGAGAGAUGUUUUAU
RNA transcript from Acanthopagrus latus (yellowfin seabream), 5260 nucleotides. It is a transcript of the gene named putative nuclease HARBI1, with no coding region annotated. NCBI's taxonomy places the organism in Eukaryota, Metazoa, Chordata, Actinopteri, Spariformes, Sparidae. The transcript is spliced from 8 exons. The record is from RefSeq and is a predicted model, not a curated record.